Long non-coding RNA from Marmota monax (woodchuck), 3836 nucleotides. RefSeq lists it as uncharacterized. The transcript has 2 exons. The record is from RefSeq and is a predicted model, not a curated record. NCBI's taxonomy places the organism in Eukaryota, Metazoa, Chordata, Mammalia, Rodentia, Sciuridae.
AGUCCCCUUCUGUCUGGGCCACCAUGAGGAAACAGCAGAGACUGGGUGGUCCACACCAGGAGGUGGCUCCUUGCUGAUUCCCAGAGUGGGGUGCCGGCGGGUAGCUUUCUGAAGCCUCUCCUCUUGGUCUGCAGACAUCUGCCAGCCUGCCCCGUGCUGGAGGGAGGGCAGCAGGCCCCUGGGCCUCCCUAGCUCCACACGCAGCCCCUGGGGCUAGAAGUCCCACAUAUGAAUCAGGGUGGCACAAUUCAGGCCAUAGAAAUAGGAGACACAACACUUCCGAUUUUAAUCCCGAACCAACAGGGCAGAUUCGUAAAGUGUGCUCCAGCCGCAUCUGCUGAGGAUGCAGUUAAGAGGAGUGGACGGCGGCCUAGAGGUGAGGAGCAGGAAGGCCUCUCCAGAGAGGGGAGGGCUCUGCAUCCUGGAGGCAGGCCAGCGGGAGGGUCAACACUGGUCCUCAUGUCCCGCGACAGCACGGCUUCCUUCAGGGUGAUCUGAGGUCAGCCACGCAUUGAUCACAGAUGCUGUGGGCAGUUCUUUAUCUCUCAGCUUUUGUGUUCAUUUGCAAAUAUCCAUAAUACAAAAGUUUUUAUGAAGAAUAAACUAAAUAUUGGGGGGGAGUGGGAAAGCCCCAUUCUGAGGGGGAGAUGGUCAGAACACCUCUGGGAACUGGCUCCAAGAACCAAGUCUGGGGACACAAGGCUACUGUGUCCCCAAGAACUGUGGAGAGCCCAGGACAGUGCCCUGCUCUCGGGAUGAUGACAGGGACACUAAGGGUAAAUGAGACUCCUGUGUCGGGGCAAAGGACUUCACAGCUCAGAGAAUCCAUGUUUGUGGACAAGCUGGGGUGACUAGUCACACCACAGUCCCACAGCGAGGCACAAAGAGAGCCAGAGAGCCAGGUACUUGCAGUGUCCUGGGUGGCCCACAGGAGAGGAGCUCCCACCCAGGGGAGUGAACCUGUCUACUCAAGGGCACAGGGACCCAGUCUUCCAAGUGUCAGCCACUGUGCCCUGAAGUACAGAAGCAGGGAUCACUUCUUCUUUAAAGAUGUUGGUUUAUAAAUACCUUUAAAGACAGUUCAGAGCAAAGAUAGCCAGUACCUGUGCUCGGAAGACGGACACAAGUGCGAGAGACCCGAGAACUGUCUUACUGGCACCUGUGGAGGAGUGGGCACGGGGAGGGAGACAGCCCCGGGGAGCCUUGGUGGGUAAGUUCAGAAGAAAGCCAGCUGCAGAUGGAGCCUUCCAGAAACAGACGCAGAGGAACAUCAACCUCAAAAUAACCACUGCCAAAGAAACAGCAUUCAUCUCUGCCUGCAGAGGAAGAUGCUCUCAAACUGAGAAACUCACAAGACACCCUCUUCAAACCCACACAGAAACAGCAUCUCCACCCAGGAAAACGUGAUACCUCAAAUCAUUAUAAAUGACAUAAAAAACAACUAUGAGAAGACAUGAUAUAUAAGAAUCAAGAUUCCAGUGAAUGAAAAAUAUUCUCUAAGACAUCAAACAUGAAGCAAAAGAAAGCUACAGUGAAACUCUCACUCCUGAGCAGUCAAGGUCUCCAGAUAAGCACUAAACAUAAAGGAGCCUCUCAAAUCAUCAAAAAGCAAAAAGCAAAACUCCAAGUGAAUUAUGCAAAAGCAACAAAAUAAAAAAAUAGACCAGUGGGAAUAUAUAAAUCUGAAACUCGACUGUAACAAUGAAACAAACAGCACAGUAAAGAGACAACCUACAGAACAGGAGGAAAUGUUUGCAAACUUACAUCUGGAAAGGAGUUAACACCCCAAAUAUAUAAAGAACUCAAACAACUUAAUAGCAGGAAAACAAUUAACCCCAUUAAAACAUGUUGGCAGAGACCUGAACAGACAUUGCUUAAAAGAAGACAUACAAAUAAAUGGCCAUCAGGUAAAUAAGAAAAAAGGGGGCUUGACCUCACCAGCCUUCAGGGAAAUGCAAAUCAAAACCCUAGGAGAAACCACCUUCCUUAAGAGAAUGGCUGCUACCCAAGACCCAAAGCAGCAGAUAGGAUCCUUACUCUGUUGGUGGGUGAGAAUCAGCACAGCUAGAAGUCAGCUCAGAGCCGCCUCGGGAAGCUGAAAGUGGAGGGGUCUCCUGAUUCAGCUACACAGCAGGGACCUCAGGGUACACAUCAGCAUGCCAAAGAGACUCCCGGGCUCCCAUGUUGUCCUGGCACAGCACACGGCAGCCCAGCAUAGAGCCCACCACGGGCUCACCAUGGACGUGUGGCCAAUGGACAUGGGGCCCCCCACAGCAGGGAACACACCUCGGCCACGAGGGAUGAACCCUGCUUAAGCCAAGAGUGCAAGCGGGUGUAACUCGACUACUUGACAGGCAAGAUUUCAUCGCGGUUUCAAAGCAAACCCCGGAUCUGUCAAGAACGAAAGAGACACCCCAACAAACUUAUUCAGACCAGCUAAACAUCGGACUGGGCUGAGGCACUCCCAACAAACGCCAAGAAGAAGCAGGGCCAGGCCGGUACGGCAGAACCCAGGUGCGCACACUCAGUGAGACAGGCGAACCCCGAAGCUAACUGGAAACGACACCCUGAUGAGUCACCAUGUCCCGGGCCAGGAACUCCGAGGCCUCAGAAAACACUGAGUCAGAAAACACGCACUUAGUUUCGAUUACAAAAUAAGUCUUAGAUUUCAUCUUGCUCCGCUGCUUCCGUAAUAAGCAGGUAACAUAUCAAGAAGGAAUGCAGAGCCUAUGGAGUCACUCUUUUUUCUUGAUGCUCUUUUAAAACUCCAAGAAAUGAAUGUUGUAGACCAUUCUUAACCCACCAGGGCAAAGAGGGUUGGAGAGGAGACGGCAGUGGAGGAGAGUUUUUAAACCAGCUUUUAGAAGAAGAAAAGCAGAAGUGGGAUUGACUUGGUGAAGCAGAGGAAGUUAAACCGAGCUGAGAGAACCGCCGGGCAGGAAGGACAGGUUGCCCUGAAAGUGUGAGAGGGAGCCGCCGGGCCUCCUGGGCUGGGGUCUGCCCAGCCCACCAACACGCCCCGGCUCACACAACCCAGGAAAACACAGAAGCAAAGGUGGGAGCACGUUGCCCUGCGCAGACACAGUGCUGUCCAUGUCUGGGAAAGGAAGUGCAGUCAAGCACCAGCCCCCGAGCUGGAGAGUCUCCGAGAGCUGAGGUCGCGGAGCGGAAGGAAAGAGGAGCCAAGGUGCAGACCGUCAGGCUCCAAUUCUGGAGCAUCGACCUCCUGAGACCUCCUCUCACGUGACCCCACAGCCAGGUGUACACGGCCAGACGCUGAGCCUGUCGGGAAGCAGAAACGGACAGGGCCCCGGGGGAGGACUGGCUGGGAGCAGGGGCCGCACAGACUGUACGCAGCCAGCUGCACUGGCCAGCUGGGCUCCUCCCGUUUGCUUGACCCCCAAAUGCCGCCUGGGCCAGAAACAAGCUCUACCAGUGAUGUGGCUCUGCACCCCAGAGCUGGACACACGCGGGUUGUUAAAGAUGGGAACACAAGGAUCUCCACAGGGCCCUGACCUGCUGGGGCCUUGUGUGGAAGCUGAGCCUCAGAUGGUGCCCUGGUGCCAUCUGCCUGAGAGUGACUGCCACCUGGAAGCAGGGGUUCCCCAUGCCCUUGUUGUGGAUCUCUGCAUCAGUCACCCACAGAAAGAUCAUUUCCCUUCACACGCUGCACGUGGACACAGCUGAGAGGCUACUUUCUUAGUGUGGAAAGAGAAGGAGUUUAGUUAGGCUGACCUCCAGAAGCCCAAUGUGACUUUACUAAUUGGAAGAAGUACUUUCUGAAAAAGUGACAAAUUUUAAUUGCAAGCAAAUAAAUUAGUAAAUUUCAUGAAAAA